ACGAGUUCAUGCCCUUACGGGUAGACCUCCCACCCUUGAAUAUUAUACCUUCGUUGCUUUGGCGGGCCGCCUCGGCCACCGGCUUAGGCUGGUGAGUGCCCGCCAGAGGACCCUAAACUCUGAAUCGUUUUGUCGUCUGAGUACUAUAUAAUAGUUA
RNAcentral lists this unclassified non-coding RNA (157 nucleotides) under uncultured Helotiales. Its description in RNAcentral is "sequence contains ITS1". The record is from RNAcentral. Lineage: Eukaryota; Fungi; Ascomycota; Leotiomycetes; Helotiales.